CGUGUAGGCGGAUGGGUCAGUCAGAUGUGAAAUUCCAGGGCUCAACUCUGGACCUGCAUUUGAUACCUCUCAUCUAGAGUAUGGGAGAGGAGAUCGGAAUUCCUGGUGUAGCGGUGAAAUGCGUAGAUAUCAGGAAGAACACCGGUGGCGAAGGCGGAUCUCUGGCCUAAUACUGACGCUGAUGCGCGAAAGCUGGGGGAGCAAACA
RNAcentral lists this ribosomal RNA (207 nucleotides) under uncultured bacterium. RNAcentral describes it as "partial 16S ribosomal RNA". It matches the Rfam family "Bacterial small subunit ribosomal RNA", at positions 568 to 774 of the family's 1533-position model. The record is from RNAcentral.